UGUGUGUGUGUGUGUGUGUGUGUGUGUGUGUGUGUGCCUUUCUCUCUCUGUCUCUCUCUCUCUCACACACACACAGUCCUGGGAAAGAGGCAAUGGCAAACCACUUCUGAAAAUCUUGCCAAGAGAACUUCAGAGACUGGUCCAGGUAGUUGCCAGGAGUCCACCUUGACUCAAGUACACACGUGUAUUGAAUUUAUUGAGAAUUACAUCAGAAUAAACACUCAGGUACCAUUUCAGGAACUCAUGAGAACAUGCCAAGUACAAACUGUAAUAAAACAUAAAAGCAGAGAAGCCAGACACCACUUGCAUAAUCGUUUUAUGACAGCAUCCAAGUCUUAUCACUGGAAUCAAUGAAAUGGGAAACCUCCCCCAUCACUGUUACAUGUUGGAAACAUCUUCCUUUAUAAAGUGACUAAUCAUACACCAAAAGCAGUGACUAUGGAGAAAAUGUUAUUUUGCUUAUGUAACAAAAGUUAUGUAAGAGCUGUAAAAGAGGUUCAUUUGGUCAUUUGUGAGAGCAAGAAAAGUACUGAGGCAUAGGAGAUAGCUUUCUAUAGUUUUUGCAGUGUAGUGAAAUUUUCCAUUUCAGAGGCUUGAAAUUAAACGUAAGGACAUUAUGUUCUUCAAAACUGCUGGUUUAGAUAUAGCAGAGAGAAGCAGUAGUUUGCAACAGCAAAUCUUUGUUCACAUUUUUUUUUUCAUUUACUAAUUGAAAUGGAGUGUCUUACAUGUGUGAAGUAUGUUCAUCACAGCUGAAACACCAAUGGUUUAUUUAAUCACCUCAGUAUCAUAUCACCUCAGAAACAAGUUUUUUUAAAAAGAAAUUGUGGCAGAUUUAAACAUUUCAUUAAAUUUUCAGUAAUCAGGUAAAUGUUAUCACUUUGCAUUGGCACGUAAUUAAAUGAAUAUAUUAUGAUGAUAAUUUUUUCUAGAAAAUAUCUCACUAUCAGUGUUAUUUUAUGAUAAAGCAAGCUCAUUUUUUAUUGCAGGCUAUUAAUAUAGAUUUUGACCCAAUUUAAAUGUAGCCAAUUAACCAGCAUAUGAUACCCAGUUCUGGACUGUCCCUGGAUUUUGCAACCCAUGGCUUCAUGUGAAUUGUAAACAUCGCAUAUAAAAAGUUUGUCUUGACACAUACAAGAUAAUACAAAUGUUGUGAAGUAUAUUUCUCAUGGGGAUAUACACAAGAGUAUACUCCCCAUCUUGAGUAUAAAUUACCAGAAGGCAAGACCAGAAACAAUGGAUGAAAACUAAUCAAGGAGAGACACAACCUAGAACCAAGAGUUUUGGCCACAAUGAACUCUGCAUGCAUUCCAGACCAGUUUUAUGGAGCACAAAGGACAAGGCUCAUGCCUCUUCCUAUAACAGAUCCUUCCAGUACCUUGUCUUCCCUGCUUCUCUAAUCUCCUCAGCUGCUAUAAUGUCCUUGACAUUUUCCCACUCAUCUUUCUCAUUCCCCAUCUCUCAAUUUUUGCACAGCACAUUUGCAUUUCAGAAACACUCUUGAACAAAAACAUUCAGUUUCUUCCUAUAUAUGGACCAAACAUAUGUUUCAUAUACAUGAACAUGAAUCAUCCCAAGAAAUCAGUUCCAUGCACAGAAUAGUUUAUAAAUGGGUUUGUUCCUUCCUAAUCCCUCAGCCUCUCUCAUUAUUGGUCAUGCUAGUGUAGAAGAUGACCAGGCUGAGCUCAAGGGAGGGAUCAAAUGCAUCAUAAGUCCCUUCGCUCCCGCAAGAGAUCUAAGUCCAGCCCAUCUUAAAUUCAUUUCCAUUCAACUCCUGCACAUUUCCCUUAACAGUCACUUGGAAAGAACUUAAGCCUGCAAUGAAUAUUUAUUUACUCAUUUGAGCUGCCUGAAUAUCUUGAUUUUCUGGGCAGCUGACAACUGACUGAGGUUGCUGGGAACUGAUAUUCAGCAGCAUCUGAAACAUCAAAAGUAUUUAAAGGGAGAAUGGGACAACUUGCCCCAGCCAACUCACCAUGGGAAAACUCACUGCGGAACAAUUUAACAAUUCUAUUUAAUUAUUUAAAAUAAAUAAAAAAAUAUUUUAAUUUUUAAUUGAUCAUAUUUCAUUCUGUCCCUCCUUUUGCAUCCUUUCUUUAAUGUUUCUAUUCCUCCAUUUCUUUAUUAGUGUAACUUUUGUCCAGGAUCAAGUUAUCCUAUGGCGAGUUAGCCAUAGCAAGUUGUCCCAAGCAAAUUGGCCAUGGUGAGUUGGCCCCAGUGAAUUGUCAUAGAGUGUCAAACUCGAUUGUGUCACAUGAUGUAUCUCAAUGUUUUUUGCCUUUGUGGAGCCAGGGUGGGUGUGGCCUACAUGAGACACAUCUGGCCUGCGGGCCACCAGUUUGACACUCCUGACUUAAAGGGUAGCAAAGUAUGAGAACUACAUAACUAAACAAACCAAGAUGGUGGAAUGUGCUAGAUUCAAUCCCCUCUUAUUGGCUAGUUCAUUCCAUUAAAGCAAAAAUAUAGCCAGCUAUGGCUAGGUCAAAGUCUAUCUGAAUAAAAAUUUGUUAGCCAAAUCUAGCUAGGUUCUGCCUCAGCACACUGGACUUCAAUUAGCACCCAAGACAGGAAGACCAUUUAAUUUACAAUUUAUUUGAAAUGCUUCAGUUAAAAAGGAUUCUUUAUGUGUGAGAGAGAACCUGGAACAAAGAAUUACAUUUACUUUUAUAGUUUGCACAACAAAGAAACUUCAAAGUAAAAGUUGAUUGGAUUAGGAAAAAUCAUAUGUCCAGUUACAUCAUGAACAAUUAGACACCCAAUAAUAUCUAAGCAUAAGGAUUGAAAAGAGCAUUGUAAUCUGAAUAAAAAUAAAAGAAACAUUUAUAAAGGAAAAACAUCAAAAUGUGCAUUGAUAAAGAUACAUUAACAGCACUUUCCCACUCUUGGGUUCGAAUACUUGCUUUGUUCAUUGAGGCUUGGGAACAACUGAAAACAAAAGUGUUUAUUUUCAAUGUAUCAAACAGUCUGCCAGUCCUAGUUUCUAAAGUAUAAACUAUCUACAUUUUUGCUUGAUUAGACAUGGCCAAUUAACAAUACAUUUAAAAGAGAGAAAGAGAACUAAGGCAAAUUAAAAUACAAGAAAAAUCCAUGUUAAUUAGCCAGUGCAAGAGUACUACAAAACCCAUAUUGCAAGUAUUACAAAGUCCACACUGCAUGGCCCUCACAUUCCAGGCUAAUUUUCCUAUAAUUAUGCCAGAGGGAUCUUGCAGAAUCAAGGUGGAAUAUAUCUGAUUAGGUUAUUUAAGUUAUACUGAUUGGUCGGGUUGAAUUUGCCUUCUGGGAACUUAUUCCUAGAUUACUAGAAAAUCCCUGUUGGGUGAGCUUAUUUGGUCUUCAAGAAGUUGCCAUAUAAUAAACGCCAAACUUUGCUGUGGACUCCCAGAGAAUCACCCUGAAAGAAUCACAUAUUUUAAGUUCUUGAUAAGUUUAGAUAGCAAGAGUUAAGUAUGUUUUCAUUAGUAAAGUCUAUAUUUAGUUAUAUUGCAACCUGUAAACAAUUUCAAGCUGGUCUCAGUUGAAUUUGUUCCUUUAUUCAGAUUCUUGCUUCUGUUCUAGACUGCUGGAUGAACUUCCCUAUGUAAUUGAAUAUGAGGAAGAGGGGGAACCUUUGAAAAGGGGGUGUAUCUUACUCUGGAAGUACAAUUACAAUGAGAUUUAACCAUUGUAAACCUUACCGAGCCGGAAAUAUAGAAUCUCCUCCCAAGAGCCUCACAUGAAUACUAAAGAUAGCUAUUUAAAUCCUAGUACAACUCAUCUACACAUACAGUUGAACUUAACCAAAAGGCCAAGAAGAGUUGGCUUAUCCUAUUCCAAUAUAUAAGGUAGUUCUUGGUUAAUGAUGGCUACUGGGACCAGAAUUUCCAUUGCUAAGAGAUGCAGUCAUAAAGCAUUAUAUCACAUGAAAUAUAAAUCACUUAGCAACAGCAGUUCCAGAGUUCUGGUUGGCAUUGUUAAACAUGACAUCAAGAGUCACCAUUGUUGAACUCCUGCCCACUGCCACAUUGACUUUGCUUGAAGGAAGCUGGCAGUGAAGGUCACAGAUGAGGAUCCUUUGAGUGCAAAAUGCUGAAACUUCAUAAUCGCUAGCCUGUCCUUUACUAUAUGACCAUAGUAAGUUAGAACAGUUGCUGAACAAGUAAGUGUUAAGCAAAGCGUGCCUGUAGUUACAUGUUUAUGAGAAACCAUAAUCGGUACUCAGCAACAGAAUUAUUCUUGGAGGCUCAAGCUAGCUCUCCUACUCCUGUUGUAUUAAUGCUUUCCUUUCUAUCCCUAAUGAAGUAACAUUGAGUAAUUCAGAAACUAUGGGGAAACUGUGUCUUACCUUUUCCUUCUAUAAGAUAUAACACAUCUUUUUGGACAGAAUUAUUUGCCUGACAUGAAUAAUGUCACUCUCGUUGCUAUAUGGAAGGAGGAUAUCACUGCCAAAGGAUUUGCUGCUUCAUGAGCUACAGGCAAAGUACAUUAUUUUAAGGGCUUAAAUACUUUAAGCCAUUACAGACCUCAUUUCCAAAUCAUAGUUACUUCACUGAAAUACAGGGAGGCACACAUGAUUUAAAAACAAGGUUGAACCUGAAAAAUUAACUGUUGCUACUCUGAAAAAUAUCCAGAUGCAAACAUUUUCUUCUCAACAGAGACCCAGAUUUUUAGGGUAUAAUUGUAACAACUGUUGUAAGGAAACUGGCUAACAACAGGUGAUGUACUGGCUGUGAAGUACAGGCCUCUACUCCCACUUUAGCAGAGGACCAAGAAAAAAGAAUGGAAUUUCACAGCAAAAAAGUGAUGCCUGCAGGAUCAAAAUUUGCAAGAUGAUAGUAGUGUCAUGAUUAAAGCUUCAUCCUUUGGGGACAUGCAUGCAGCACUUGUGAAAAAGGGGGUGGUUUUGUGACUGUUGUCUAUGGAGAUUCUCAGUCAUCCAGGUCAUAGUUAUCCCAAAGAGGCUUUUCUGUGAGGCAACUGGACUUUCUUGUUUUUCUCUGAAGACUCAGAGCUGAAGAAGCUUCUUGGAUGAGAAGUGAAACAUCUUCAAAGAAAAACAAGUCCAGUUGCCUUGCGAAAAAGCAUCUUUGGGAUAACUUUGUGACUGCUGUCUUGCAGAGUUUGAUGUCUCCCGUAGGAGUUCAUGAAGGGUAUUUCAGCCUUUUGUUUUAAUGGAAAAACUGAAGUGAGGGGGGAGGAGAAAGAAUAGGAAAUAUUUACUUUUUUAAAAAAAAAUGCAGGGCAGUCCUAUUUAACAACCCUAACUGGGAUCAGAAUUUCCAUUGCUAAGUAAAGCAAUUGUUAGAUGAAAUAUCAUGUGACCACACAGCUUAGUGAUGGUAGUACCAGAAGGCUGGGACUUCACAUUUCUCUUGCCCUGCCAUGUUACCUUCCACUUCAACAUCCCACAUCCAUCUAUCUCCACUCGUCUAUGUUUUAUACCCUGCUGCUCCUACCUAUUCCUGUUGCGCCUCUACCCCCAGCUAACUUUUGCUGUCUUCUUCUUCCACGGUUGACAAGGGGUGCCCAGCUGGGGACAACUGCUGCCCCUUAGCAAGACCCUUGUGAGUCCUCCCUGAAUCCCCAUGAGGCAUCUGUGCAGGGUAUCCAUAAGGCUUCGCAGAGGCCUUAUGAAGUUUUGGGGAAGGCCUCAUGAGCUGAGCAGCAGCAGGAGAAAGAAGACUGUGAAGGUCAGCUGGUAGCAGCAGAGGGUUGAAGGGGUAGACAGUGGUGGUGGAGUGCAGGGUCUCCAAAAGGCAGAGAAGGGGGAAGAUAGGUGGAUGAGGGGAGUUAAAAUAUAUGCAGCGGUCUUAAAUACAGAUGAUAUGCCAAGUGCCCAAUUUUAUAUUAUGUGACCACAAGAGCAUUGCAACAGCUAUAACUACAAGGACUGGCUAUACACUAUAGCCUCCAUUUGUUCAACAGCAUCAUAAAUGUAAAUAGUUACUGAAUAAAUGGUUGUUAACUGUACAAUGUAGUGUAUAUAGACAGUUAGGCUUCAACUUAUGACCACUCAUUCACUGACCAUUCAAAAUUAUGAAUAGUGCCGACCAAGUGGGAUUUAAAACUGGUUGUGAAGUUGCAACUGUCAUGGUGAGCUGAGGUUACAUGAUUAUCAUUUGUGACCUUCCUGGUCACCUUCCCACAAAGACAAUAGAGAAGCUAGAGAAAGUCACAAGUCACUCCCAUAAGUUGUUCCUGCUGCUUUUUCUCCUAAGAACCCAGAAUGGAAUGAUCUUGUACUCUUUAGCACCCUCCAUCUGCCCAACAGGAAAUGAAACUUAGACAAGGCUUCAUUGGGCAAAAUAUGCUUUCAAUUUUCGAUUAUUUUCUUCUUUUUUGUUAAAAAUAAUGUAUUUUCAUUUAAAAAUAGUGCUUUCUGUAUCUAAUUGAUUCACUUGAGGACAAAAUCUAAAAUUAAUAAUAUUGAAGGUUAAUGGUUCCUUCCUUCCUUCCUUCCUUCCUUCCUUCCUUCCUUCCUUCCUUCCUUCCUUCCUUCCUUCCUUCCUUCCUUCCUUCCUCUUUCUUUCUUUCUUUCUUUCUUUCUUUCUUUCUUUCUUUUAGUUCUCAUUAGGAAUUACCUCAUUUAGCAAUUGUUCAUGAUGAGAAAUUGUGAUGAAAAUAAGUUUAAUGACCUCUGGUGCUGGUCUCCAAUGCGGUCCCUAGACAAUAGUUACUAUAUUGCUUCAAAAUUUCUCCAGCAAUAAUGCCUAUAAUGGUGGUAUAUGGGUGUAUACAAACUCUUUUAUGAUUGCAUCCAAACCAUAUCCCUCUUUUAUAUUCAAAAUGUUUCAAGCUUAAAGUUGCUGAGGUACUCUGAGCUCAAAAUGGGGUGAUCAACUUCACCAGAAGAGGUCUGAUAACACAAUAUUAGCAUCUUUAGUACAGAUUAAAAAGUAAUGGUCAAGGAAGAGCGAAGAGUAAGACCAUCCUUCCUGGCAGUGGCUAAAAGCUUAAACCAGCAAAUAAAUCUUGAAUUCAGUACUUUUUAUUCUGCUAAAACCUCAUUCCUGGAAUUCCCCAUUGAUAGUAGGAUAUCUCUGCUGCAUACUGAUCCCUAAAAAUAGCACUUUGAAUUGUUAGUACUGCUUCAUUAUUUCCUUGAUAACAGUUUGUUUGGGAUUUCAGCCAAAGGCUGUAAUUAGAAAGAAAAUAAAUCGUGUUUCCUAGAUCUAUGCUUUGCUAAGCUAAACUUUUAGCAUAUGUGGACUGCAUUAAAUGUUUACUUACAUGCAAUAUAAAUAUAUGCCAGAUAAUUUUAUCCUCUAUUGCAUGCUUGUUGCUUGCAUUUGAGACAAUCAGGUAGAAAUACAAUAAAGGUUUUGAGGAAAGGGCAAGCAAUAAACCUUUAUGAUAAUAUUUUGGCUGAUGCUGAUCUGUUUCCAGAAAUUGAAGUUAUUUCUGACAAUGCCAUCUUGAUCUCAUAUUCAUAGCAGAUAUUCUGUCUGCUCAUAAUGAACUGGCCAGCCUCAAACCCUAUUCUUCUAUUCUAGAGCCAGCCAUUAUUCUUCAGAGGGCUUUUGUUCUCACAUGUUCUUCACAGACCCAACUUUCUUAUUAUUGCUGAUCACCUCUAUCUCAGACAUGGCCUCAAUUCUGCUAGAAUAGAGGUCCCUGACCUUUUGGGCACCAGGGACCGGUUCCAUGGAAAGAGGUUUUUCUGUGGACCAGAGGGGGUAUGGUUUUGUGUGCUGCCUGCAUCCUGCAGAUGGGGCUUUGUUUGCUUGUGUGGACUGGUUGCUGGCAGGCCGUGGCCUGGUACUGGUCCACAGACUGGGAGUUGGGGACCCCUGUGCUAGAAAAGGUAAAAUGACUGUUAAAAGUAUUUUCUAGGUUGACAUAUAUUAGUAAGAAAAAAUGCUUUAGUACACAGAAACAAGUGAGCCCUAUAAUGUCCAUGUUUAGGAGAGUAUACACAUAUUUAUACACGUUAUUAGUAGGUGACUAAAGAGGAAGAGAUCAAUAAUAUUUAAAAGAAAAAAAAUAGCGUUUUUGCUCUUUGAUACUUAUGAAGAUACUGGGCCUUGUAUCACCCUGACAGAAGAAUUAUAAGACUCUAGAUAUACUACUGGGAAAUCUCUUUUUACUCUUCAGACAAAUUUCAGUGGGUAAUCUCCCAGUGUACAUUGAAAUUAUGCUUGUAACACCAUGCAGUGUCAAGUGAAAGAAUAUGGAGAUCCACACAUAUGACAUAGCGUUAAUCUUUUUGCUUCCCUUAAAAUUAAUUCAGUCUUUGCCUGAGCAUGAAACUCCACUUAUACCUUGUCAUUAUUCAAGUCAGCAUAAAACACAUCCACAUUAGCACUGUGGCACCCAGUGACUAUUCUGACACAUAGAUUGCUAUGAUCUAUCUAUUUCAGCAGUCAUUUGCUAGCUAUGCCAAACAAACUAUUGUUGUCCAUAUUGCCAAUCACAAAAUACCUAUGCUGCCAUUUUGUGUGGCAUUUGAGCAUGUAGGGGUCCUGAAUCUGGUUUAAAAAUAACACCCAUUUGGAAAAGAUUGGAAGAGUUCUCUGGGAUUUUUGAAGUUCUGGGGAUGAGUAUAUACCAUUUUUCCAUGAAGUGAUGACCUCCAUUACUUGAUACUGUUUCUUUCACGUGAAGGAGUUGGUACCUUUGAAGUCAUUUAAGAAACAUAAUGGAUACAUCUUUCCAUCAUUCAAAGACAUCUGCAGAGAGAGAGAAGAUUUUUGCAAGCUGAUGAUCACUGGCAACAAACUAUAGAAGACACCAAAAAAACAAGAAUACCCAGAGCAAUGAAAGAUUUGUUUGUUGUCUUGCUAACCAACACUGAAAUCAAUGACCCACAGCAAUUGUGGAACCAGUUCAAGAAUGCAAUGUCUGAAGAUUUCCUCCAAAUUGAGAGAAUAUCAGUGAUCUAAUAUCAUGAUCAAUAAGAGCUUAUCAUGAACAAGCUCUCCUAAAUUUUCAAGAAAAACUUGAGAAAUUCAGAAAAAAACACUAAGAAUAUAACUUGCCAAAACCAACAAGUGCAAUUAAUCAACAUGGUGGCAAUCAGGAAUUAUUGCAUAAGCAGUAAUACAACAGAAACAAACAUCAGAAAUUUAGAGUACACAACCACCCUUUAUUGAAUAAUGAGCAAAGCACAUUAAAUCAUUAUUUAUAUAAGUGCUUGCAAAGCAAUCUUUUUUCAGACAUUUUUAAUGAUGAACAAGGAAGAAUGGGAAAUACAUUUGUACCAACUUGAUCUUGGCUAAAGUUAGGGGAGGUGGAGAUGUUGCUAUUGCGGUGAUCUGGUAUUACAACAACAUUGAUGCCUUGUGGUAGAAGAGUGCAUUCAAGAUUCAAGAUACUUCUCAAAGUAAAUGAAAAUGUUGUUUGUAAUAAUGAAAUAAACCCAAUACUGCAAAUGUGUUUCAAUGUGUAAAGGUUUAUUGUCUGGGAUGAGAAUCCAUUAUUAGAAGACAGAGCUUUGAAGUCAUACACCAUUCUUCUUGUGAUGUAUGUGGCAAGAAUGAGGCCUUGGGCGGAAUAUUAACCAUUUGCUAUGUGAUUUCCAUCAGCUUCUACUAGCUGUGAAAAUAUGAAAUUAUGCAAAUGUGGAUAAUUCAUGCAUCAAAAAAAUCAUACUUAUUGAGAAGCUUUUUCAAGUUUUAGUUGAAGAGAAACAUGUAAUGACUGAGGGAAAAAAGAUAUUCUGGAUUCUUAUUGAAUGUUGGAAUUCAGAAAAAUCAAAAUGAUAAAAAAAGAAUUGCCAGAAGAUACUGUUCUGACAGCAAGAUCUAUGGAAGAACGUAUAGAUUUCAAUUACCUAACAUCUAACAAUUCUGUCAAAGCGUUCUCCGAGAAUUCUAUCUUGGUUCCCCUCAAUGAAAUGAUGAGAAAAAUGAUUUCUACCUGCAUUAGAAGCUUCCCUGGAAAGAUGAAAUAACAUUAUUUCUUCAUCUCUGUCAGUGAAAGAGCCAACACUACUCAUUGAACUUGAAUCUUCCAAGGCUUUGCUGUGGAAUGUGGAUGAUUAGCGAAGAACUCCAAAAAAAUCUCCUUGAACAAACAUAAACAUUGGGGUAUUCAAAACUGGCACUGGCAUGAUUCCAAAAAAUGCACUCAAUUUAUUAGGAGGUGAAAAUGUCCCACUUCAGUGGAUACAGUUCCCAAUACUGUCAUACUUUGCUCUCACUAUACAUGAAAUACAGGAACAAGCCAUGGAGAACGUGCUGAUUUAUUCAGAGAAAUCAGCAUUCCAGUAUGAUCAGCUGUAUGUUGCUUUUAGCCAAAGAAAAGAAAAACAUUAGAGUAUUCUUAAAGAAGGACAUAUCAACCAGAAGUGAUAAUCAAAAAUGUCCUUUGUUAAACAAAAAGAAUCUAUAUUUGUCUUGCUACGAAUCCUUCUUCUUUAAUAAAGUCAUGUGUUUUUUUUUUAAUUUUAAAACCAAAACAAUAGCAAUCCACUUGUAGACAUUGUGUUUCUCUGUUUAGGUAAAGAAAUAUCACUAGGGUGACCCAAUGGAUCAUGAGUUGUACAAUAUGUAAGUAAAAUCUUCAGAACUCAGCUGAUAUCAGGAAAUAAUAUGGUUGAAUGAGUGGAUAGAUUUUAAACAGUAGUCUUUGGAAUCCUGCUGAGUAUUUCUCAGCUCAUCUGUGAAGGGGUUGAUUGAGGAGGCACAAAAGUAUGGUUGAUUGAGUACUUGAAUGAAUGAAUUCCAGGAACAUGGGUAAUGAAACAGUGAAGACUUGCCGAAGUAGAAGAGAGGAAGGGAAGUAUUGCACAAAAAUUGUCUUCAAAAUCAAGGAAAUACUGUUUAUUAUGCCACAAAUGCAGUAGCUUUUAGGGAGGAAAAAAAACACAAUCAGGUGUUUUGGGCAUGGAAAGAAAUGAAGGAGAAAAGACAAAUGGUUAUUGGCUGGAUGAUAUGAGAAUCAUCCAGAAGACCAAUAAUCAUGAUGUAAUGUUGAUAUGUAACAUUUAUCAUAGAAAGAUCUAACAUUUCAUUCAUUCUUAUGGAGCCUACUUCUGGGUAGAUGUAUGUUUCUAUUUCUUAUUGUUCCAAACUAUUUUUAAUACUGUACACUACCCAAAUUGUUAGGGAAUUGGGUGGCCUUACAAAUUUGACAACUUCUUAGCUUUGUGUAACCUACUAAACCCAGUAUUCCUCUUAAGAAUUUUCAGCUACAGUUGACCUGGUUGGCUAUCUUUGCUAUUUUGCAUUUUAGCCCAUUUUAAAGAUUUUUUUAUUUAUACAUUGGUUUAGAGAUUUCUAUUGUUUUGGCAUUAUGCUUUGUUUCCUAUGUUGUGCAUUGUCCAGCGUCUUUUAAGAUCAGAGUGGCUUAUAAAUCCUGAAAAAUAAGAAAAAAUAUUAUUUAUGAUCUUAUUUUUUGAUAGUUGCAUCAAAAAUGAUGCAAAACUCACAAUGUAGUUUUUAUGUAUGUUGUUUAUUGCUUAUAUUGUUUUACAGAUCUCUUACAUAUUGAAAAAAACUUCUGAUGUUUCAUGUUUUACUGUAAAUCACCAUCUUUUAUGUGCUGUAUUUCACUAGAUCAGGACUGUGCAGGUAUAAAUAUGAUAAUGAACAAACAAAAAUGUAGUUUGCAGAGUUAUUUGAACUUAUCUAUACUGCUUUACCUUUUUUAAAAAAAAUGACAAGUGCUUAUUUUGAUGGAGAAUGACCACACUAAACACUGGAGAUGCUUGUAAAUCACAGUUGUUGGGGAAAGGAAGCAAAUUUGAGGAGAGGGAUAUUUGUGCUUCUUUUCCUAAAUAUUGGGACAGAGUUUUGUCAGCUUUUGUUUGUGUGUGCUUGGAUUUACAGCCUGAUAUGGUUUGUGUUUGUGUUUGUUUGUGUUUGUCUUUGUUUGUGUUUGGUAUGGUGUGGUGUGGUGUGAUGUGGUAUGGGUAUGGAUAUGGGUAUGGGUUUGGGUUUGGUUUGGGUUUGAGUUUGGUGGAUUAGAUCUGAUUGGAUUGGAUUUACAUAGUCCCCCAUUUCUUAUAAAUGACUCUAUAUCAGAAAUGUCAAACUCGUGACAUCACAUGACAUCGCGCAACGUAUCGGGACGCUUUUGCCAUUGCCAGCAAUGGUGUGGGCACAGCUUCUGGAUGACACAUCCAGCCCGCAGGCUGGCAGUUUGAUACCCCCACACUAUAUGGUCAGAGAAAUUGCUUUUCCACCCUAUUUUAAGCUCUCACAUUGCAGUUUAUUCAUAUAAAUAUGUAUGUGUUAAUUAUUAUUGAUUGGUUUUUAUGUUGGCUGCUGUAUGUUAUUUAUUAUUUUGUUGUAAUAUUUUAAUCUUGUUUUUAUUCAUAGUUAGCCAUAGGGAGUUAUGCAUUUGAGAUAGGUGGCCCUAUAGAUUGAAUGAAUAAAUAAAUAAUACCAUCAAUAAACAAGUGAUCACAGGUGAAUAAGAAAAAAGAAGCUGCUGCUGCAAAGUUUUUAUAACUAGGGAGAGCACAAGAAAGACUGGAACAGAGAAUGAAAAGAGACAUAAUUAGCAAAGAAUGAAUAUUAAACUUAUAUCUUCAUCACUAGAGUACCGUAUUUUCCGGUGUAUAAGACGACUUGGCAUAUAAGACGACCCCCGACUUCAGAGACAAUUUGCAUGGUUAGAAAGUCGUCUUAUACACUGGAAACUACCGUACUUUCCGGCG
Molecule: long non-coding RNA, 12580 nt
Organism: Crotalus tigris (Tiger rattlesnake)
Lineage: Eukaryota; Metazoa; Chordata; Lepidosauria; Squamata; Viperidae
Exons: 3
Source: RefSeq, a predicted model, not a curated record